Molecule: ribosomal RNA, 498 nt
Filed under: uncultured bacterium
Lineage: Bacteria
Description: bacterial SSU rRNA
Rfam family: Bacterial small subunit ribosomal RNA
Source: RNAcentral
AGUCAACGCUGGCGGCGUGCCUAACACAUGCAAGUCGAGCGCGAAAGUGGACUUCGGUCCGCAAGUAGAGCGGCGAACGGGUGAGUAACGCGUGGGUGAUCUACCUUCGAGUGGGGAAUAACACCGGGAAACUGGUGCUAAUACCGCAUGACAUCCCUGGUUCGUUCCAGGGAUCAAAGCCGGGGACCGUAAGGCCUGGCGCUUGAAGAGGAGCCCGCGUCCGAUUAGCUAGUUGGCGGGGUAAUGGCCCACCAAGGCUUCUAUCGGUAGCCGGCCUGAGAGGGCGGACGGCCACACUGGGACUGAGACACGGCCCAGACUCCUACGGGAGGCAGCAGUGGGGAAUUUUCCGCAAUGGGGGAAACCCUGACGGAGCAACGCCGCGUGGAGGAUGAAGGCCCUCGGGUCGUAAACUCCUGUCGAUCGGGAAGAAUGCGUCCGACCUAAUACGUCGGUGCGUUGACUGUACCGGUGGAGGAAGCCACGGCUAACUCUGUG